UAUCGGAGGUAAAAUGGAGCUGGGCUUGACUGAUGGAGAUUGUUAUGAGGAAAUAUAUAUGUUUAUUUGGAAACAUAUUAUGGUUCUCCACUUGGUAAUCUGAUGGAAAAUGAUUUUUUUACCUUUUGUUCUGAAGAAUUUGCUAAAAGCCUUUUCCAGGGGUCCAAGAUUCCACACACUUCUUGAAAUUGGAUGUGGUCCCUGUCUUCACUGCACUCUCUGUGCCACGGAGCAUGUGGAGGAAAUGGUUUUGUCUGAUUAUGCUUCCAACAAUCGUCAGGAGAUUGAGCAGUGGUUACAAAAUGAUCCAAAAGCUUUUGGCUGGAGCCCAAUUGCAAAAUUUGUGUGUGAACUGGAAGGCAACAGGAGAGAAAAGGGUGCUGAUUGUUGACAAGUCAACUCUGCUUGGACAAGGCAAUGUCCUGGAGAAAACAAAGUGGAACUAUAGAAGCCCCAUGCUUCUAGGAUCACUAUUUCCAGUCUGGCUGGGGCUAGCACAAGCCAAUGAUUGUGUAGCUCUGCGAAACAUCAGCCUGUGCAUCAAGUAAAUUUCUCCUCCUUUGAUGAUGAAGAAGAGGAACAGCAUGAAGACCAUGAUUCUGACAUAAUUUAGUGAAUAACCAAACAAAUGUUUAAUUUAAAUACUUUUUAUUUCAAUUUAUAAACGUGUAAGUUCUUCUACUUUGGACACCGCUGUACAGACAUUGAUCGCGUUUGAAUAACAAAUUUUUUCCAUGAAUAUAAAGAGGAGAUUUGAUAGAGGUAUUUAAAAGCAUGAGGGAUCUACGUAAGUUAGAAAGAAACAGUUCCUCUUGGCAGAAGAAUUGAGAACUUAGAGGACACAAAUUGUACGGUGACUGGCAAUGGAAGCAAUAACGACAUUAGGAAGUAAAUAAUUUAACACAGGGAGUGAUUAACGUCUGUAAUACAUUGUCUAAGAAUGUUCUAGAGGCAGAUUCAAUUAAGGCCUUCCAAAGAGAAUAGGGUCACUGUCUGAAAAGAAAAUGAUUGCAGGAUUGUAGGGUGUAAUUGGUUAAUUUGCACUUUCAGUGAGCCAACACACACAGGAUACAGCAAUCUGAAAGGCCCCAUCCUGUGCUGUAACCAUUCUAUCGAUCCAUAACUCGAGGAUAAAUGAGACAUUAAUACUUUACUUGUCAGCCUUCAAUGUCACUCCAGUAUUUACUGCGAAAUGUCAUGGCCAGUGAAAUAUUUACAUUGUUGAUAAGGAUUCUCGUGGGCCAUCUCUUAAUGUUUAUUAUUUCAUUAAAAAAAACAUUGAGCAUCAAUCGCUUCUUUUUCGACUGUGAUCACUCCAUAUUUUCGUUAUUGGGGUAAAGCAAUACUAUGCAAUAAAUAUUGUGCCUUACCCUGCAACUUGGUAGCAUAGAAAUCCUCUCUUUUGGAUUCAAGUGAUCCAAUCAGAUCAUUUGAACUUUAAUUCUAGACAUUUGAUUGGGCAUGCAAAUUUACCAUUGCAAAUAAGAUGCUCCAUUUUAAUGAACAAACUGUUUCAGUGAAGUUUUCAUUCUCCAGGACAAUUGACUCUUUCCCUGGAUUCAUUCCAACCUGGCCACCCGACAAAUGAUGACGGAAGUCAUUACCUUAAUGAAACAACAUCAACAAUAAAUACAACACUCUAAGAAAACAGCUCAUUCUGUGUUUAAAAUAAAUGUGCAGAUUUUCUCUUGUGAAAUCCAAACGUGCAUAGACUGUUGGAU
Molecule: non-coding RNA, 1721 nt
Organism: Chiloscyllium plagiosum (whitespotted bambooshark)
Lineage: Eukaryota; Metazoa; Chordata; Chondrichthyes; Orectolobiformes; Hemiscylliidae
Source: RefSeq, a predicted model, not a curated record